ACCUGGGUGGCUCAGUCGGUUGAGCGUCCGACUUUGGCUCAGGUCAUGAUCUCACAGUUCGUGGGUUCGAGCCCCGCAUCAGGCU
This 85-nucleotide transfer RNA is filed under the name Felis catus (domestic cat). It matches the Rfam family "tRNA". Rfam says of the family: Transfer RNA (tRNA) molecules are approximately 80 nucleotides in length. Their secondary structure includes four short double-helical elements and three loops (D, anti-codon, and T loops). Lineage: Eukaryota; Metazoa; Chordata; Mammalia; Carnivora; Felidae. The record is from Rfam by way of RNAcentral.